GAUCAUCCAGCAGGGUGUGGUGUCAUGCACUCUCAUGACCUUGGUCGGGACGUAGUGAACCCCAGAGGUCAAGAAGUGGGGUGGCGCUGAGUCUUGCCACAAAGAUCCUGAGGUGGCCAGGCUCCUGGGGGUUUU
MicroRNA precursor from Equus asinus (donkey), 135 nucleotides. The record is from Ensembl. NCBI's taxonomy places the organism in Eukaryota, Metazoa, Chordata, Mammalia, Perissodactyla, Equidae.